UUUCCGUAGGUGAACCUGCGGAAGGAUCAUUGUCGAAACCUGCCCAGCAGAACGACCCGCGAACUUGUAUAAACAACCGGGGGCGGGGGGCGUUCUCGCCCCGUGCCCCCGAACGGCGGGGAGACACUCGUGCCUUCUUGCCGAACAACGAACCCCGGCGCGGUCUGCGCCAAGGAACUUCAACUAAAGAGUGCCUCCGGUCGCCUCGGAAACGGCGUGCGUGCCGGGGGCGAAUCUUGUGCAAAACCAUAACGACUCUCGGCAACGGAUAUCUCGGCUCUCACAUCGCUGAAGAACGCAGC
RNAcentral lists this unclassified non-coding RNA (302 nucleotides) under plant metagenome. RNAcentral's name for it is "partial contains small subunit ribosomal RNA, internal transcribed spacer 1, and 5.8S ribosomal RNA". The stretch from base 254 to 302 matches the Rfam family "5.8S ribosomal RNA", at positions 1 to 49 of the family's 154-position model. The record is from RNAcentral.